RNAcentral lists this ribosomal RNA (334 nucleotides) under uncultured bacterium. RNAcentral's name for it is "bacterial SSU rRNA". It matches the Rfam family "Bacterial small subunit ribosomal RNA", at positions 29 to 355 of the family's 1533-position model. The record is from RNAcentral.
AACGAACGCUGGCGGCGCGCCUAAUACAUGCAAGUCGAGCGAGAAGACGUAGCAAUACGUUUGUAAAGCGGCGAACGGGUGAGGAAUACAUGGGUAACCUACCCUCGAGUGGGGAAUAACUAGCCGAAAGGUUAGCUAAUACCGCGUACGCUCCUUGGACUUCGGUUCAGGGAGGAAAGCGAUACCGUGGGUAUCGCGCUCUUGGAUGGGCUCAUGUCCUAUCAGCUUGUUGGUGAGGAACGGCUCACCAAGGCUUCGACGGGUAGCUGGUCUGAGAGGACGAUCAGCCACACUGGCACUGCGACACGGGCCAGACUCCUACGGGAGCAGCAGU